GUCUAGGUGUGCUUUCAAAGCUAUUCUGUAACUCUGAGUAAACUGUGAUAUGCAAGUAUGUUCUGUCUGGUAAUGAUUUAACUGGCUUCCCUCCACCUCCUUGGAAAAACCAGUUUUGUGUCCAUUUGCAACUCAUCCCACAUGGUUUUUCUCACAUGGAUUUUUUUAAAUGUUUUCGUUGAUCCACUUAUAACAUCUGCUUGCGUGCCUCAUGUCAUGCCAUAGCAGAGAGCUGGAUGGGAAGAGGAGCAGCCGAGACUCAAACUGGUACCCAUAUCGGAUGCCAGCACUGCGGACGGUGGCUUAACCUGCUAAGCCACUGCGCCAGCCCCAUCUAUAUAUGAUUUUCCAGGUGAGUCAAUGGGACGAUUGAUUCAACUCACAGCAACUUACCACCCUGCAAUCUUUUCUAGGACAAAUGUAUGGUGACACAGUAGAGAGUAAAAGAGAAUAUUAGCCAGCAUUCAAUAAUUGACAAGAUUAGAAAUUGCGAAGUUUGGGAUAUUUUCUCAACCAUGUGCCGGUCUGCAA
This is a non-coding RNA of Oryctolagus cuniculus (rabbit), 531 nucleotides long. The record is from RefSeq and is a predicted model, not a curated record. Lineage: Eukaryota; Metazoa; Chordata; Mammalia; Lagomorpha; Leporidae.